GCCCCACGCUGGCUGCGCCUGUUGGUCGCCUGGGACCCUGCUCGAGGAUUUUCGGAGCCUGUUGGAUUCACAGUGACACCUGGCCCCCUGGGGAG
Oryctolagus cuniculus (rabbit) is the source of this 95-nucleotide long non-coding RNA. It matches the Rfam family "Pvt1 oncogene conserved region 3". The record is from Rfam. Lineage: Eukaryota; Metazoa; Chordata; Mammalia; Lagomorpha; Leporidae.